This 368-nucleotide ribosomal RNA is filed under the name uncultured bacterium. Its description in RNAcentral is "bacterial SSU rRNA". It matches the Rfam family "Bacterial small subunit ribosomal RNA", at positions 28 to 404 of the family's 1533-position model. The record is from RNAcentral.
GAUUAACGCUGGCGGCGUGCCUAACACAUGCAAGUCGAACGAGGUAGCAAUACCUAGUGGCAGACGGGUGAGUAACGCGUGGUCAACCUACCGUUGAGUGGGGGAGUAACUAGCCGAAAGGUUAAGCUAAUACCGCAUACGUCUCCGAGUGGCAUCACUUGGCGAUAAAAGGAAGCAAUCCGCUCGAUGACGGGACCGCGUCCCAUUAGCUAGAUGGUGGGGUAACGGCCUACCAUGGCACCGAUGGGUAGCUGGUUUGAGAGAGCGACCAGCCACACUGGGACUGAGAAACGGCCCAGACUCCUACGGGAGGCAGCAGUGAGGAAUUUUCCGCAAUGGCGCAAGCCUGACGGAGCGACGCCGCGUGU